Molecule: long non-coding RNA, 874 nt
Organism: Gorilla gorilla gorilla (western lowland gorilla)
Lineage: Eukaryota; Metazoa; Chordata; Mammalia; Primates; Hominidae
Exons: 2
Source: RefSeq, a predicted model, not a curated record
GAGGGCGAGGGCCUGGGCGCUGCGGGGGCUGCCUGGCCCGGACUCAGGCACCAAGCGGGCACGGCAGCUGGGAGCGCAGGUGCUGCCCUGGAAAUGGGGUGGUUGUCCUGGGAGGGGGCGGGACAGGGGAAAUAAAGGGGGAAUUUAACCCUUCCUUCCCCCAGGCUUGGCUGCGGAGGGGAGAGGCCUUGACCAAGCCCUGCGCCAUCUGCCUCCAGCAUCUCUCCAGUCCUGGUUGUGGCUGCUCUGAGGGUCCCCAUCCCUCAAGACCUGCUCCUCAUCACUCCAGGCCCUAAAGUGACUGGUGAAGAUAGGGCCCUUGGCCAAAAACCAAGCCCUCUUCUCUUCCAUAUUCUGCCAGAGGGUAUUGAAGCCCUGCGACAAACAGAUGGACUAACAGGCAGACAGACAUAUCACUUGGGCAACAAAAGCAACACAAAAAAGAGGUCGUUGUCAUAUCCCGAAGACCCGGGAGGAAGAAAAGAUAAACGGACCAAGGGAAAGAUAAGACUAAGUGGCCCAUGGGCCAACAUGCACAGUUAGGAGAAGGAGCCCCGGAUUCCAGUCCUGGUUCUGCUGUGUGACCCUGGAUCAGCUGCUGCUCCUCUCUGGGUCUUUUCUGCCUCUGUACAAACAGGGAGUUGCAGUAGGUGUUUUUUGAGGCAACAGGACUCUCAAAGACACUGCAGCAGUUGUAUAAACAGGGAGAGGAGCUGGGGGCCUUGAGGGCCUGGUUAGAGCCAUAAAAGCCCCUCCCCAGAGGCUCUCCGCAGCCUCUUCCCCGCCCUAGGCCUGGGCUCCAGUCUGGGUUGAAGCACCAGAGGCCAACAGCACCCCCUGCCCCCAACAUGCAUAAACACAUGUGCUCCUCCGA